UUAAAGCCAAGAGUACACACCAAAAUUAAAAUUCAACCUAUUCUAACAAUUUAAAAUGCAAGAGUAUAAGAAGGAAUUCUAGGUUGCCUCCUAGUAGCGCUUGUUUAACGUCACGAGCCUGACCCAAACAUGUUUAGCACUUAUCAGUAAGUGCAAAUCCUUCCAACACCCAUCAGUAGGUGUACCUUCCUGUGUUCUCCAG
Molecule: long non-coding RNA, 202 nt
Filed under: Vigna radiata
Lineage: Eukaryota; Viridiplantae; Streptophyta; Magnoliopsida; Fabales; Fabaceae
Description: long non-coding RNA (VRAD_LNC001780)
Source: RNAcentral